RNAcentral lists this ribosomal RNA (248 nucleotides) under uncultured bacterium. Its description in RNAcentral is "partial 16S ribosomal RNA". It matches the Rfam family "Bacterial small subunit ribosomal RNA", at positions 29 to 255 of the family's 1533-position model. The record is from RNAcentral.
AGCGAACGCUGGCGGCGUGCUUAACACAUGCAAGUCGAGCGAAGGUGCUUCAAGGGUAACCUUGAGAUACACUUAGCGGCGGACGGGUGAGUAAUACGUGGAUAACUUACCUCUAGGCCUGGGAUAACCCCGGGAACUGGGGCUAAUACCUGAUAAGACCACAUUGUCUACGGACAAAGGGGUAAAAGGUGGCUGUGCAAACAGCUAUCGCCAAAAGAUAGGUUCACGUCCCAUCAGGCAGUUGGUGA